This 432-nucleotide ribosomal RNA is filed under the name uncultured bacterium. RNAcentral describes it as "partial 16S ribosomal RNA". It matches the Rfam family "Bacterial small subunit ribosomal RNA", at positions 29 to 507 of the family's 1533-position model. The record is from RNAcentral.
ACGAACGCUGGCGGCAUGCCUCACACAUGCAAGUCGAACGAGACCUUCGGGUCUAGUGGCGCACGGGUGCGUAACGCGUGGGAAUCUGCCCUUGGGUUCGGAAUAACAGUUGGAAACGACUGCUAAUACCGGAUGAUGACGUAAGUCCAAAGAUUUAUCGCCCAGGGAUGAGCCCGCGUAGGAUUAGCUAGUUGGUGGGGUAAAGGCCUACCAAGGCGACGAUCCUUAGCUGGUCUGAGAGGAUGAUCAGCCACACUGGGACUGAGACACGGCCCAGACUCCUACGGGAGGCAGCAGUGGGGAAUAUUGGACAAUGGGCGAAAGCCUGAUCCAGCAAUGCCGCGUGAGUGAUGAAGGCCUUAGGGUUGUAAAGCUCUUUUACCCGGGAUGAUAAUGACAGUACCGGGAGAAUAAGCCCCGGCUAACUCCGUG